CACGGCCACGGGGCUGCUGGGCUUCCCUUUGUCAUCCUUUGCCUCGGGCUCGGAGCGGGGCAGGGACGGCAAAGGGGUGCUCAGCUGUCACCUCUCCCGGCGCAGAG
Molecule: microRNA precursor, 107 nt
Organism: Myotis lucifugus (little brown bat)
Lineage: Eukaryota; Metazoa; Chordata; Mammalia; Chiroptera; Vespertilionidae
Source: Ensembl